Molecule: transfer RNA, 70 nt
Filed under: Dipodomys ordii (Ord's kangaroo rat)
Lineage: Eukaryota; Metazoa; Chordata; Mammalia; Rodentia; Heteromyidae
Rfam family: tRNA
About the family: Transfer RNA (tRNA) molecules are approximately 80 nucleotides in length. Their secondary structure includes four short double-helical elements and three loops (D, anti-codon, and T loops).
Source: Rfam by way of RNAcentral
GGGAAUGUAGCUUAAUGGUAGAGUGCUUGCCUAGCAUGCAUGAAGCCCUGGAUUCGAUUCCUCAGUACCA